RNAcentral lists this ribosomal RNA (1233 nucleotides) under metagenome. RNAcentral describes it as "bacterial LSU rRNA". It matches the Rfam family "Bacterial large subunit ribosomal RNA", at positions 1713 to 2925 of the family's 2925-position model. The record is from RNAcentral.
UUAGGCAAAAUGGCACCGUAACUUCGGGAGAAGGUGCGCCCUUUGGUGUGGUCACGUGCGUGACUGAGCAUCGAAGGGUCGCAGUAACCUAGCCGCUGCGACUGUUUAUCAAAAACACAGCACUCUGCAAACACGAAAGUGGACGUAUAGGGUGUGACGCCUGCCCGGUGCUGGAAGGUUAAUUGAUGGGGUCAGCCGCAAGGCGAAGCUCUUGAUCGAAGCCCCAGUAAACGGCGGCCGUAACAAUAACGGUCCUAAGGUAGCGAAAUUCCUUGUCGGGUAAGUUCCGACCUGCACGAAUGGCGUAACGACAGCGGCGCUGUCUCCACCCGAGACUCAGUGAAAUUGAAAUCGCUGUGAAGAUGCAGCGUUCCCGCGGCAAGACGGAAAGACCCCGUGAACCUUUACUAUAGCUUUACACUGAACGUUGAGUUCUUCUGUGUAGGAUAGGUGGGAGGCUAUGAAACCAGGACGCUAGUUCUGGUGGAGCCAUCCUUGAAAUACCACCCUGAAGUGCUUGACGUUCUAACCUAGGCCCGUAAUCCGGGUCAGGGACCGUGUAUGGUGGGUAGUUUGACUGGGGCGGUCUCCUCCCAAAGAGUAACGGAGGAGCACGAAGGUACGCUCAGCGCGGUCGGACAUCGCGCACUGUGUGCAAAGGCAUAAGCGUGCUUGACUGCGAGAUCGACGGAUCAAGCAGGUACGAAAGUAGGUCUUAGUGAUCCGGUGGUUCUGUAUGGAAGGGCCAUCGCUCAACGGAUAAAAGGUACUCCGGGGAUAACAGGCUGAUACCGCCCAAGAGUUCAUAUCGACGGCGGUGUUUGGCACCUCGAUGUCGGCUCAUCACAUCCUGGGGCUGUAGCCGGUCCCAAGGGUAUGGCUGUUCGCCAUUUAAAGUGGUACGCGAGCUGGGUUCAGAACGUCGUGAGACAGUUCGGUCCCUAUCUGUCGUGGGCGUUGGAGAUUUGAGGGGGGCUGCUCCUAGUACGAGUGGACCGGAGUGGACGUUCCGCUGGUGUUCGGGUUGUCAUGCCCAUGGCAUUGCCCGGUAGCUACGAACGGAAGUGAUAACCGCUGAAAGCAUCUAAGCGGGAAGCACGCCCCAAGAUGAGAUCUCCCGAGAGCUUGACUCUCCUAAAGGCACCAUCAACACUAGGUGGUUGAUAGGUCAGGUGUGGAAGCGCAGCAAUGCGUUGAGCUAACUGAUACUAAUGAGCCGUGAGGCUUGACCAA